UUCCUGUGCUUCACUCCCCGAAAGCAGAGCAGGAGGGAGAGCUGGGGCCGUGCCUGUGGCUGCUCUGGGAAUCAGCAGGAAGCCUCAAAUGAGUUGAAGUUCUGGUCUGGAGUCAUGGUCAUGCCUGGGUACAAAGAGCCUCUGCUUGUAGCUGUUCAGAAAAAAAGGAGUCCAGACUGUGGGCUGUUCUUGCCUUCCCAUGAAAUUCCACUCUUCCCCUGGUUUAGGUACAGGAAGGAAAGAAUCCAUCUGUGGCAUUUCCCUGUGCAAGAUGCCAAAUGUUCAGUUGGAAAGGAGGUUUCUUCCCCCAGUCAGAACUGUCUCCUCUGUACCUCAAGAACUUCCUGUAGGAAAUUUUUAGACUGCUGGUGGAGCCCCAUGGAAUGAGUCAGCUCUGUGCUGCUUUCAGUCCUGUGAAUGAAAGGAGUCUGGAGGCAUAAUUUCCUUAUUACUGCAGCAUGGGUUUGAGAAAAUUGUAGAAUUCACUGCUUUCUCAUAGAUAUGUCUGUCUAAUUGACAGAAAGAAAACACCAAAGCCUCGUGUGAAUCA
This 550-nucleotide long non-coding RNA is filed under the name Zonotrichia albicollis (white-throated sparrow). RNAcentral describes it as "lncRNA (ENSZALG00000008579.1)". The record is from RNAcentral. Lineage: Eukaryota; Metazoa; Chordata; Aves; Passeriformes; Passerellidae.